GAUGAACGCUGGCGGUAUGCUUAACACAUGCAAGUCGAACGGACUCUUCGGAGUUAGUGGCGGACGGGUGAGUAACGCGUGAGAAUCUGGCUUUGGGUUCGGGACAACCACUGGAAACGGUGGCUAAUACCGGAUGUGCCGUGAGGUAAAAGAGAAAUUGCCUGAAGAUGAGCUCGCGUCUGAUUAGCUAGUUGGUGAGGUAAAGGCUCACCAAGGCAGCGAUCAGUAGCUGGUCUGAGAGGAUGACCAGCCACACUGGCUCUGAGACACGGCCCAGACUCAUGCGGGAGGCAGCAGGGGAGCAUUAUCCGGCAUGGGCGAGAGCCUGACGGAGCACUACCGCGUGUGGGAAGAAGGCUCUUGGGGUGUAAACCUCUUUUCUUAGGGAAGAACAAAAUGACGGUACCUAAGGAAUCAGCAUCGGCUAACUCCGUG
This 435-nucleotide ribosomal RNA is filed under the name uncultured bacterium. Its description in RNAcentral is "partial 16S ribosomal RNA". It matches the Rfam family "Bacterial small subunit ribosomal RNA", at positions 28 to 507 of the family's 1533-position model. The record is from RNAcentral.